Molecule: ribosomal RNA, 278 nt
Filed under: uncultured bacterium
Lineage: Bacteria
Description: partial 16S ribosomal RNA
Rfam family: Bacterial small subunit ribosomal RNA
Source: RNAcentral
AACGAACGCUGGCGGCAUGCCUAACACAUGCAAGUCGAACGAGACCUUCGGGUCUAGUGGCGCACGGGUGCGUAACGCGUGGGAAUCUGCCCUUGGGUUCGGAAUAACUCGCCGAAAGGCGUGCUAAUACCGGAUGAUGUCGUAAGACCAAAGAUUUAUCGCCCAGGGAUGAGCCCGCGUAAGAUUAGGUAGUUGGUGAGGUAAAGGCUCACCAAGCCGACGAUCUUUAGCCGGCCUGAGAGGGUGAACGGCCACAAGGGGACUGAGACACGGCCCUU